RNAcentral lists this ribosomal RNA (253 nucleotides) under uncultured bacterium. RNAcentral describes it as "partial 16S ribosomal RNA". It matches the Rfam family "Bacterial small subunit ribosomal RNA", at positions 524 to 776 of the family's 1533-position model. The record is from RNAcentral.
UACGGGGGGGGCAAGCGUUGUUCGGAAUUACUGGGCGUAAAGGGCUCGUAGGCGGUCAACUAAGUCAGACGUGAAAUCCCUCGGCUUAACCGGGGAACUGCGUCUGAUACUGGAUGGCUAGAGGUUGGGAGAGGGAUGCGGAAUUCCAGGUGUAGCGGUGAAAUGCGCAGAUAUCAGGAGGAACACCGGUGGCGAAGGCGGGUCUCUGGGCCGAUACUGACGCUGAGGAGCGAAAGCGUGGGGAGCGAACAGG